This 301-nucleotide ribosomal RNA is filed under the name uncultured bacterium. RNAcentral describes it as "partial 16S ribosomal RNA". It matches the Rfam family "Bacterial small subunit ribosomal RNA", at positions 509 to 807 of the family's 1533-position model. The record is from RNAcentral.
CAGUCGCCGCGGUAAUACGAAGGGGGCUAGCGUUGCUCGGAAUUACUGGGCGUAAAGGGAGCGUAGGCGGGUCGUUUAGUCAGAGGUGAAAUCCCGGGGCUCAACCUCGGAACUGCCUUUGAUACUGGCGACCUUGAGUAUGGGAGAGGUGAGUGGAACUCCGAGUGUAGAGGUGAAAUUCGUAGAUAUUCGGAAGAACACCAGUGGCGAAAGCGACUCACUGGCCCAUUACUGACGCUGAGGCACGAAAGCGUGGGGAGCAAACAGGAUUAGAUACCCGCGUAGUCCCUGUCUCUUAUAC